UACGUAGGGCGCAAGCGUUGUCCGGAAUUAUUGGGCGUAAAGAGCUCGUAGGCGGUCUGUCGCGUCUGCCGUGAAAACCCGAGGCUUAACCUCGGGCUGGCGGUGGAUACGGGCAGACUAGAGGUAGGUAGGGGAGAAUGGAAUUCCUGGUGUAGCGGUGAAAUGCGCAGAUAUCGGGAGGAACACCGGUGGCGAAGGCGGUUCUCUGGGCCUUACCUGACGCUGAGGAGCGAAAGCGUGGGGAGCGAACAGG
This 253-nucleotide ribosomal RNA is filed under the name uncultured bacterium. RNAcentral describes it as "partial 16S ribosomal RNA". It matches the Rfam family "Bacterial small subunit ribosomal RNA", at positions 524 to 776 of the family's 1533-position model. The record is from RNAcentral.